Molecule: small RNA, 180 nt
Organism: Staphylococcus epidermidis RP62A
Lineage: Bacteria; Bacillati; Bacillota; Bacilli; Caryophanales; Staphylococcaceae
Rfam family: S. aureus tsr25 small RNA
Source: Rfam
UAAUGAUAAUUGAAAAUGAUUAUCAAUACCAAUUGAAAAACAUUCCCCCCACAUACAAGUUGUUCUUUUGGAUUGGUCAUUUUCAACUAUCCCCUUUUAUAUGCCCGUAAAAGACUAACGUUAAGAAAUGACGUUUCAAUAAAAGCAGUAGACCUUUGACACUUGAGGUCUGCUGUUUUU